Long non-coding RNA from Suricata suricatta (meerkat), 495 nucleotides. RefSeq lists it as uncharacterized. The record is from RefSeq and is a predicted model, not a curated record. NCBI's taxonomy places the organism in Eukaryota, Metazoa, Chordata, Mammalia, Carnivora, Herpestidae. The transcript has 2 exons.
UGGCUGGGCUGGCUCAGAGCCUGGCCCUGCAUCUUAAUGGGGCGGUGAGCUCACAAGAUGGAUUUAGCUGGGGGUUUUAUGGUUGCCGCGGCGACAGGAGAAUGCUUUGGUUUUCUUUCCCCCUUCCUCUGCAGGAUUUUAAGGAGGAGGGAGGGUGGGGGAGCCCUCCUCUGCACUGCAGUUUCGAAGGGUCUCCUUAGUCACCUCUACAGCUCUUAAGAUGGGCCUGCAAUUCCAGGAGCAAGAGAGACCACAUUAGGACCUCAGGACAGGAUGAGGGAAGGAAGGUGCUGGGAGUGGGAAGAGCCUCUCCAGCAUCAAGUCAUGAAACCGAGUGGUCCAGUCUUGCCUGCUGUCUGCUGUGGGGCACCUGUGCCCAGAAUCCCCCUCAGCAGGGUCUCCGGAUCUAGUUGCUGGAUCUGUGUGGCGUGAUGACUCAGUAGAUGCCCCGCAGCUCCUCCCAUUCAGACUGACCCCAAAUACACUUAAAGGGAA